This 465-nucleotide long non-coding RNA is filed under the name Numida meleagris (helmeted guineafowl). Its description in RNAcentral is "lncRNA (ENSNMEG00000001002.1)". The record is from RNAcentral. Lineage: Eukaryota; Metazoa; Chordata; Aves; Galliformes; Numididae.
CCCCAUAACUGCCCCACAAACCUACAGUCGUGUGACUCCCCCCAGCUGCCCCAUAACUGCCCCAUAACCCCACGGCCACGUGAUGCCGUGUGCCCCACAUAUUCCCCGCUCACCCCACAAUCACGUGCCCCCCCAGCUCCCCCCAAGGAGGACGAAGAAGAGGAAGAGGAGGAGGAAGCCUCUGGUCACGCCCACCGCCCCUCCCCCACGUGGCAGGAGCUCAAGCCCCGCCCCCAAGAGUUGGACAGGCCCCGCCCUCCCGAAGACCACGCCCCUCGCAGGCUCCUCCCCCUCGGCCCGCAGCUAUUGGCGCUGGGGGCGCUGGGGGCGGGGCUUGCGGUGCUCGGGUGGCUCAGGGGCGGGGCUUAAGGGGGCGUGGGCUGGACGUAAGGGGCGGGGCUUACGGGCUCUCCUCUGUCUCUGUGUCCCCCCCCGUUGAAAUAAAGAGGGAAUGAACCAAUGGCA